UAAGUUAUUAAGGGCCCAUGGUGGAUGCCUUGGCACUAGGAGCCCGAUGAGGGACGUGACUAACUGCGAUAUGCUUCGGGGAGUCGUUAAGUAGACUGUGAUCCGAAGAUUCCCAGA
RNAcentral lists this ribosomal RNA (117 nucleotides) under Ligilactobacillus ruminis. RNAcentral's name for it is "Lactobacillus ruminis partial 23S ribosomal RNA". It matches the Rfam family "Bacterial large subunit ribosomal RNA", at positions 4 to 119 of the family's 2925-position model. The record is from RNAcentral. Lineage: Bacteria; Bacillati; Bacillota; Bacilli; Lactobacillales; Lactobacillaceae.